This 220-nucleotide long non-coding RNA is filed under the name Chinchilla lanigera (long-tailed chinchilla). RNAcentral describes it as "lncRNA (ENSCLAG00000024043.1)". The record is from RNAcentral. Lineage: Eukaryota; Metazoa; Chordata; Mammalia; Rodentia; Chinchillidae.
UCUAAUGGAUUUAAUCUAAGAGCUCUGGGGGAAAUGGAUUUAUGAUUCCAGGGUCGGCUACUCUAGAGACAAAGAGACAGAGAGAGACAGAGAGGCUUCCAAGAACCCAUGGACCUUAUUGGUAGUGGGAGCAUCAAGAACUGCUGAGGAAGUAUAUCAUUAAAGAUCAAGGAGCAGGCAGCAGGACGUCUGGACCCUCUAUAACAUGUUGGGAAUUAAG